GAGCUUGAGAAGGAAUCAGAUUCUGCAUAUAUUUCCAAGUUAACAUGAACAAGAUUUUCUGAAAGACUGCUAUGGAGUCUGAGAAAAAAUGUCAAAGAUUGAGGACAUGAAGAGGAAAGAACUGACAGAGGAGGUGAAGAAAGGUGAUCAGGAAGAGCCAUCAAAGUGUUAUCCUGGAAUUCAAGUGAAGACAGUGUUUCAAAGUGGAAAUGAACAGUGUCCUGUAACCCUCAGAGUGAGACUAGAGUCAGAAUGCAAGCUUUUCUCAUUUGAAAUCUCUCACCUGUCUUCCCUCCCCCACUUCUGUGUUCCCGAGUGAAAGGCAUACAAGGAAUCAACAUAUGCAAGGAAACAAAUGAGAGUGGUUGUGCUACCAAGGCCUGAAACUUCGGAAAAACCUGCAUAACACAAAAUAUUAAAUAUGCCACAGAGAGGAUCCAGAGAGCUCAUCUCCGGUCAGUUAUCUGUAUUUGCAUGUCAACUACAGCAUCAAAAAGCAUAGGCAUGGAUACUAAGGACCCCCUCUGUACACCAACGCCAGUCCAAAGGAUAGUGUGUCACUGUGAACUGGAAAUUCAUCUCUCUUCUUCAUUUUUUUUCUACCUACUUUAUGCUUUAUCUCUAAGUUGAGGCUGUUUAUGGCCUCAUCCUCAAUUACCUUGUCCC
This 666-nucleotide long non-coding RNA is filed under the name Pan troglodytes (chimpanzee). RNAcentral's name for it is "lincRNA". Lineage: Eukaryota; Metazoa; Chordata; Mammalia; Primates; Hominidae. The record is from RNAcentral.